This 504-nucleotide ribosomal RNA is filed under the name uncultured bacterium. RNAcentral's name for it is "partial 16S ribosomal RNA". It matches the Rfam family "Bacterial small subunit ribosomal RNA", at positions 29 to 523 of the family's 1533-position model. The record is from RNAcentral.
AUUGAACGCUGGCGGCACGCUUAACACAUGCAAGUCGAACGGCAGCGGGGGGAGCUUGCUCCCUGCCGGCGAGUGGCGAAUGGGUGAGUAACGCGUAGGGAUCUGCCUGUUAGAGGGGGAUAAGCCGUGGAAACGCGGUCUAAUACCGCAUACGCUCUAAGGAGGAAAGUAUGGGACCGAAAGGCCGUACGCUAACAGAUGAACCGGCGUUAGAUUAGCUAGUUGGUAGGGUAAAGGCCUACCAAGGCGACGAUCUAUAGCUGGUCUGAGAGGAUGACCAGCCACACUGGAACUGAGAUACGGACCAGACUCCUACGGGAGGCAGCAGUGGGGAAUAUUGGACAAUGGGGGCAACCCUGAUCCAGCGAUGCCGCGUGUGUGAAGAAGGCCUGAGGGUUGUAAAGCACUUUAGUUGGGGAGGAAAGCCUGAGGAUGAAUAAGCCUUAGGGGAGACGUUACCCAAAGAAUAAGCACCGGCUAACUCUGUGCCAGCAGCCGCCGUAA